AAUGCAAGUUACUGUCAUAAAUUCAGUAAGAAUCUGUCCUUGUUUACAGGAGGCUAUUGGAAACAGUAGCUAUGGGCCCAGAGCACUGCCUAGACGGUCAUAUUUGAGAAUGAUGAGCUUCUAACCAGAUGUGACUGGACACUUUUAAGAAGCUAAGAUAAGCAGACUGAGGCCCGGAGUGAGGAAGCAGCUGCCUGAGAAGAUACAGUUAGUAGGUGUGAGACUGGACAGUCUGUGCUCUUCAGACCAGCACGCCGCCCUGCCUUGAGCAGUGUGGGUUUCCCGUCUGAGCUUCACAGAGUAACGUUAGGUGCAGGCCCAGCCCUGUUGUACCAUGUGUCUCCACCCACUUCUCACCCAGCAGAACCCGUGGGCUCCGAGCCUGUUCACAUUGCCACCUUGGGGUGUCCCCAGAGGAAAAAACGUGUGGUGGAUAUGUGCCGUGCCGUCAGGCGAGAGCCUCACACCAAUGGACCGGAGCCUAACGGGCAGAUGGGCCUGCAGCACUGCGCUUCCCUGGGUGGCACUGGUCAGGGCCCUGGGCCUCAUUUGACACAUGCUCAUUUGAUGGAACAGCAUCCAUGCUGGUCAAAGUCCCUGUGCCUUGGCGGCCGCCACCCCUGCCUGUCCUGGGGCAAGCCUCGGACCCCGUACAGCUCCUCAAGUCCAGGAUGCGUAAGAUGAGUUUGAGCACCAGCUGCCUUUGCAAACAGAUUCUGUUUUUAAAAGAAUUCUUUCCACCAAGAUUUCUUCAUAUUAUAAAUUCCCUGGGUGUAAGUAAACGUUUUUAUGCGUACAAAUUCAGCUCAGGGCAACACGUGUUGAGUAAAAUGGAAUCUGAGAUGCUUUGAGCAACGGGAGUGAUACGCAUUCACAUUCAGGCAGCUCCUAAGAGUAUGAAACUCACCAAGAAUGUUUAAAACGGCUUUUAGUAACAAAUAUUUACUGAGCAACUUCUCUGAGUAGGGCCCUGUCCUUGGUCCAGCGGCUAGAGCAGCGAACAAGGCAGGAGUCUGUCUUGGAGAGUUUACAUGCUGGUGUGCAGCAUAUUCCUAACAGGACACAGGUUAUUUUACACAACAGGCAGCGCAGCAUUGCUGGUGGAAGCAAACAGCUGAGUGCCUGCUGUCCGUCUAGCAGCCCUCUGUUGGGGGCCGUGCUGCAUAAAGUAAACAGUUUCAGACUGGUAGGGUAUAAAAUUUGUCUGAAAAACAAAAUAAAACAAAACAAAACACACCCAACCCCAGCUAUCCUCAUAAAAGCUGGAUCUGCAAACUGCUCACGGUGCCUGUGAAUGCCCCCCUACCUGCCCCUACAUAGCACGAGCCCGAGGGGACCUGGGGACCGUGUUUAUGCACUACACAGUGAGAACGGUGCCCUGGGGCCGCUCUGAUAAGUGCCGCACAGGCGGGACACUUGCCAUGAAGGAACGGCAUGAAAGUGCAAGCACCAAAGGAUCACAAUUGUGCGCAUGAUAACUGCACAAGUAAGACGGGAAUCAGAGCAUCGUCAGCACCCAUCUUUGGGGGUGAAACUCAAGGCCUUUUGCUUCUACUUCUGGGCGUUUCCCAGCACAAUGAAAUGUGUAUAGCAGAAGACUAGAAAAUAAUUAAAAUCCUCCAGAUCA
Molecule: long non-coding RNA, 1627 nt
Organism: Hyaena hyaena (striped hyena)
Lineage: Eukaryota; Metazoa; Chordata; Mammalia; Carnivora; Hyaenidae
Exons: 2
Source: RefSeq, a predicted model, not a curated record